UCCAGGGGCUUAUCUGUUUGACCUUUGGU
This 29-nucleotide non-coding RNA is filed under the name Rattus norvegicus (Norway rat). The record is from RNAcentral. Lineage: Eukaryota; Metazoa; Chordata; Mammalia; Rodentia; Muridae.